GUGAAGGGCUAUCAACAUUUGAAACAAUAACAAACAGUCAACAGCAAAUGGUGAUCUCACUUUGAAACACCCCCUCAAAAAGCUAUGACAAGGCCUUACGGCCAAAUCCAACAGGGUGGUUCUACCAUAUACUCUUAUACCAUGACGACUCAAAUUGACAAGUGACAACGUAUUCGUGCAAUUCAUUGUACAUCAGGUUGGAGCCAUUGUAAAUUAGUUUGGCUAAUUAUCCCGCCUUGUUGAAAUGGUGUGCAGCACAAACAGAGAUUUUAUGUCAGCCUUUUAGAGAGCGGACACAAUUAAACCGGGUUCAUCCCUCCUAGAAUCCAUGCUGAUGUUGGACAGCACAGCCCAACUACCAAGAGCAUACCCCAUGGUUAAUCACCCUGCAAGUCAAGCUGCAGCCAAAGCGCUAUCAAAAUCAUGGGGCAGCCACGGAAUAAUGGCAGAGGAUACAACCAGUGGGGGUUCCAAUGUCAGUGUGAGACUCCCAAUCCACACCGUGUCGACAAGCUUUGGAGUUCUUGGCAGUGGUUCUCUCAGUUUGAAGAGGAAUAACGUUGUGGGUAGACUCGUGAAGACAGAUCUCAGUGGAACCGGAAGAGUGUUGACCCAAAGAAAGAAUUCUAGCGUGAAAUUCAAACAGUUGAGCAGUGGGGCAAUGGCAUCAGUGUUUGGGGGGCCCGUGAAAGGCCUGAAGAAAGCUCUGGAGGAGGUUUCCACACUGUCGCAGUCACCAACCAGGGAUCUACCAGUGCAGAUACACCUGUAGGCUCGUCGUCGCAGUCGUCGGAUUGCACCUUGGAUUUAGCGUCGGAUCAGGGGGCCAACGGUUCGAUGGGGGGUGGCGACAGUGAAUUGGAAUUAAUUGAAGAAACAUGGCCGGGAAAAGUGUGUACGUUUUGCAACCUAGGCGAAAGCAGUCAGCUGGGACAGGGUGAAAUGCUGAGGCUGGAAGUGGGCUAGGAUUUUGAAAGUUUACGCCAGAGCACGUUGUACAGUGAGUAGCGUCUCCAAUCGCUGGCCGCCAAUGCCGGGGCUGUCAGCACCAAUAAGACGUCGCUGGGCCCCUGCCCAGUCGGCGGCAAUACUUCCAGCAGUCAUUUGGUGGCCACCUCUUUGCAGCCGUUCCGCAUCAAGAAACCGCGACUGGCGCGACGCGUUGACGCGUCGCAAUCGUUUUGCUCUGAACUCCAAGAGGAGUUGAUGGCCGUGGGCUACGCAGAAGAGCUGCAUCUGCUGGCCAUCGUCGAGCCUUGCGGCUACUUUUACGCUCACCGGAUGUGCGCCAUUUGGUCGAAGGGCGUCAAGGUGGUGAACAACGACGACACCAACGCCGGCCCCAGUGUAGUGUCGGUUUGCUCGGCCAGCAGUUGGCCAGAAGUUGCCGGAGCCGAUUCCGCUCUGAUCCAGGCCGCCUUCCUACGAUGCCACUUAUGCGGCUCUUUCGGCGCCUCCCUCUCCUGUCAACAGGCCACGACCGGGGGCACUGUAUGGCCGAAAUCUUUCCACUUUCCCUGCGGAUGAAGUUUCGAAAAACUAAAUUUUGAUUGAAAUUGAUUUGCGGAUUAAUACGAUUGACUUAUCCUAGGCUUUUUUGAACGCCAAAACGAGAGGAUUGCAUUGUCCGGAUCAUAUUCAUCAGGGAUCGAUCAUGGCCGGCCCAUCAGACGCCAAUUGUGCCGUCUGGCAUUCCCAAUCCAAUGUGGCCAAUCAGCUCUUUUGCGUGACCUGCGGAAAACAUUACCACGGCUCCUGUGUCGGACUGGGUAGCAGCCCGGGAGUCUGAACGGCCUGGCAAUGCAACGAGUGCAAAGCGAUUUUCUACGUUUAAACAAGGUAAUUAAUUGUUGUCUUAUGUCCGUGAAGUCCUGCACAGUAAUCAGGCAUACAAGUACGUGUGUUCCCAAAUGUCACACAGAGAUGGGCAUGGCCCAAUAAUACAAAGAAUAUGAUCCUCAAUACGAUCAUCACUUCUAUUAUCCUCCAGGGAUCUAAUGAGUAUCCUUAUGUAUAUUCAACAAUAAUUGUAUACCUGGUUAACUAAUGUUAAGUGUUAACUUUCGAUUUUGAGUCGUAGGUUUUGUUUAGUCGUUUUUAAAGUUUGUGAAAUUGCGACUUGUUACUUUUGAGUUGAAUAACUAAAAAACUCAGAACAGCCUGGAAUUAAAUUACAGUGUUUUGUUUACAAUACAUUGAAGACC
RNAcentral lists this long non-coding RNA (2204 nucleotides) under Daphnia magna. Its description in RNAcentral is "uncharacterized LOC116935876, transcript variant X3". Lineage: Eukaryota; Metazoa; Arthropoda; Branchiopoda; Diplostraca; Daphniidae. The record is from RNAcentral.